Molecule: long non-coding RNA, 2762 nt
Filed under: Lathyrus oleraceus (garden pea)
Lineage: Eukaryota; Viridiplantae; Streptophyta; Magnoliopsida; Fabales; Fabaceae
Description: Pisum sativum (pea) long non-coding RNA (PSAT_LNC036494)
Source: RNAcentral
UCAUUUACUUUUAAUGCACUUUAAUUUUUAAGCCUUAUUCAUUUGCCAUUAUUCAUGUCAUUCAAGUUGUUUAUAUUAAUGUCAUUUUCACUUUGUCCACUUGGAUCAUAUUUUAUGAUAUAUUGUGAUUGUAUUAUUGUGAUUGUUUGUGUGGUCUUUUGACCUUAAUGUACAUAAUAAGAACAAAAAAUCUAAAAAACAUCUUGUGUGGACUGUUGAUUUGAUCUGAAACUAUUGGACUUAGAAUUUAGGCAACACUCCCUUCGCAAAGGACUUGGUCAAUGUCAACUUUCAUGAAACCAAGUGCUUGUGAAUUGAAACUUCAUCUGAUACAUCAUUAAAGAUCCAUUUGAGUUCAUCUGCAACAUGAUCAUUGUGAAACUGUUAUUUUGAACUUGUGACUUAUGCCAUCUUGGAAGUCAUCUGCUACAUGGGCAAAACAUGAAGAAUAUCAUGGAGUUGUUAAAGCUUGGAUGUGACUAUCUUUAUUUGAUGUCUUGCUCUUCAACUUGCUAUUUGUGUAUUGUUUGUUUCUUGAUUCCAAAGUCCAAGGGAAAUUUGGGUUUCUAUAUGACAUUUUUGUCUAUUGGAUUGCAGCCCAUUGGUCAGAUCUUUUCAACUCUUAACUUUUAAAUUUAUGCUUAGGAUUAGUCUCUUCAUCUCCUCCCCAUUUCUUUAAUUUCAAAAUCUCUCCCUCAUUUUAAAAUCUUCUUUGCUUGUGUUUGUUGAUUUCUAAACUUUGACCAUAUUGCAAACUAGAAACUUUGGCUUUAUGCCAUUGCAUUUUUAAAAUCUUUUCUUAAUCAAACUUAUAAAUAAAUUUAACUAUAUUUGACUUAAAAUUUCAAAAAAAAAAAGUCAAAAAGAACUAACACUCAUUCAAACCAUUUUUAAGCCUCUUGUGCCUUUUAAACUUAAAAUUUUGUUAAAAGCAAUGCACUCACUUUGAAAUUGAUACCACGAACUACGAGGUUUUGAUCCCUCAUUUUUAUGUUGGUAUGUAGGCACAAGUCUGAAGGUCUUGUCAAACACAAAAAUAUAAUUAAUAAAUUAUUUUCUCAUCCCUCCAUUCUAUUUAUUGCAAACAUCAUUUAUUAAAAAAAACACAUAUGCACACAAAAAAGGGCUCUCUAGAAGUACCUAGGACACUUUGGGUGUUAACACCUUCCCUCUGUGUAACCAACCCCCUUACCUGUAAUCUCUGUCAUUUUAUUAGUUUUGAUUUGAAAACUUCUUACCUUUUGGGUUUUGUUCAUAUUUUUCUCUUUUCCCUUUUCCCUUGGAAAUAAUAAAAGCGCGGUGGCGACUCUUGUUUUAUUGACGUCUAGCUUAUCCAUAGCUUGAUGAUCAUGAAUUUACCGCUACAAAGUGAAAUAAAGCAAAAAUAAAAGCCAAUAAAAUAAAUAACAAAAAUUAAAUGUUAGGAGUUAAGUGCGGAAUUUAAAAGUUAGAAUGCAAAAAUUAAAAGUUAUAAGUUAGGUGCAUGAAUUAAAAGAAAAGUUAUAAGAGAAUUAAUAUCAAUAUUAGAUCUAAUAAAAUUCUAAUGUUAAACAAAUUAACAAAAUUGAAUUCCUACUUAUCAAACAAUAUCUAAUAUUAUCAAUAUCAAAUAAAAUCAAAUUUAAAUUCUAAAAUAAUGAUCAAUAUCAAAUUAAAAUCCUAAUAUCAAAACAAUAUCAAAAUCAAAUCAAAUUAGAAUUAUACUAUCAAACAAUUAUUAACAUCAAAAUCAUUCAAAACAAUUAAUAAAAUAAAAUGUCAAAAUAUUAUUCAAAAACAAAUAUCAUUAUCUAAUCAAAAUUUUGGAUCCAAGCAAUGCAGUAUGGGCCCUAGAUCAACUUCUAAGACCAAACAGGGGCGUCCAGCGAUGAAAAAUAGAGUACUGGAGGAAAUUGGGCGCUGAGGCCCAAUCCAAGGCCCACCGGCCACAGUCUUCACCAACAGGGGGUGCAAGAAUAACAUAAGGGUGCAAAGUAGUAGCCCUAUGGGCUUUGGCCCAAUUUGCUUCCUCAAAGAAGAUCCAUCUUCAUUCUCACGUGCCAACUCACCCUAUCCCCUUUCAAAUAUUCCCUCUAAACACUGACCGGCGAACCAAGCCUCCGCCGCACCGGAGAUCACCGCCGGCAGCGGCGGAGCUCCAAACAUGAAAUCUAGAUACCGAAACGGUCCUCUCCACCUCACGGUCCCGAAUCUCCAAACCACAUCUCCUAAUUCUAAACUCACCAGCCGAAUUACAACCGAACACGCACGAACCCUAAGCUACUCUAUCAACAAUUAAGCUCUAUACAUCAGAAAUCAAACACCAACAUGCUAGAGCUUCGAUCUCCCUAACCUGAUACUACACCGGGGCAAUCGAAUCAAAGAAUGAGCGCAUGACUUGAGUAAAUUACCUGCUGGAGACGACGACGGAGACAGCGACGGUGAUGACACCAAUCACAGGUACAACUCUUCUCUUCUGCUCCUCUUACUUCUGAAACUUGCUUCGGUUCAAUAGUCCAAGCCUGAGAGUGAAGUGGUAAUCGAGUGUUGAAGCUUCCAACGAUGGUUUAGCUUAGCCGUGUAGAGCUUCGAGUGAUGAAGCUUCCACAAUGAUGAAAAUGAGUGUGUACUGGGGGUUGGGAAUGAUUGCAGGAUUCUUUGGAUGAGAAAAAUUCUGACCCCAAUGAUUGUCAAUGUUUGCCUUACUUAUAGCGUAAUUCAAGAGGGUAAUUUGGGGAAUUAUCUUUGAGUUGUUACGCUUUGAUUUAUCCAGCUGGCAAAUG